AUCUAGUUGAUGAGUCCCAAAUAGGACGAAACACUCAUCAAACUGGAU
This is a non-coding RNA of Schistosoma curassoni, 48 nucleotides long. NCBI's taxonomy places the organism in Eukaryota, Metazoa, Platyhelminthes, Trematoda, Strigeidida, Schistosomatidae. The record is from Rfam.